RNAcentral lists this ribosomal RNA (35 nucleotides) under Gymnopus salakensis. Its description in RNAcentral is "partial 28S ribosomal RNA". The record is from RNAcentral. Lineage: Eukaryota; Fungi; Basidiomycota; Agaricomycetes; Agaricales; Omphalotaceae.
UUGACCUCAAAUCAGGUAGGACUACCCGCGAAGGA